This 460-nucleotide ribosomal RNA is filed under the name uncultured bacterium. Its description in RNAcentral is "partial 16S ribosomal RNA". It matches the Rfam family "Bacterial small subunit ribosomal RNA", at positions 338 to 795 of the family's 1533-position model. The record is from RNAcentral.
CCUACGGGGGGCAGCAGUGAGGAAUAUUGGUCAAUGGACGAGAGUCUGAACCAGCCAAGUAGCGUGAAGGAUGACUGCCCUAUGGGUUGUAAACUUCUUUUAUAAAGGAAUAAAACGAGGCACGUGUGCCUUUUUGCAUGUACUUUAUGAAUAAGGAUCGGCUAACUCCGUGCCAGCAGCCGCGGUAAUACGGAGGAUCCGAGCGUUAUCCGGAUUUAUUGGGUUUAAAGGGAGCGUAGAUGGGUUGUUAAGUCAGUUGUGAAAGUUUGCGGCUCAACCGUAAAAUUGCAAUUGAUACUGGCAGUCUUGAGUACAGAUGAGGUAGGCGGAAUUCGUGGUGUAGCGGUGAAAGGCUUAGAUAUCACGAAGAACCCCGAUUGCGAAGGCAGCUUACUAAACUGUGACUGACAUUGAUGCUCGAAAGUGUGGGUAUCAAACAGGAUUAGAUACCCCUGUAGUC